This 117-nucleotide ribosomal RNA is filed under the name Salmonella enterica subsp. enterica serovar Derby. RNAcentral describes it as "partial 23S ribosomal RNA". The stretch from base 1 to 105 matches the Rfam family "Bacterial large subunit ribosomal RNA", at positions 2821 to 2925 of the family's 2925-position model. The record is from RNAcentral. Lineage: Bacteria; Pseudomonadati; Pseudomonadota; Gammaproteobacteria; Enterobacterales; Enterobacteriaceae. RNAcentral also lists the same sequence under 4 other names.
GGUCUCCUGAAGGAACGUUGAAGACGACGACGUUGAUAGGCCGGGUGUGUAAGCGCAGCGAUGCGUUGAGCUAACCGGUACUAAUGAACCGUGAGGCUUAACCUUACAACGCCGAAG